RNAcentral lists this ribosomal RNA (410 nucleotides) under uncultured Flavobacteriia bacterium. Its description in RNAcentral is "bacterial SSU rRNA". It matches the Rfam family "Bacterial small subunit ribosomal RNA", at positions 370 to 779 of the family's 1533-position model. Lineage: Bacteria; Pseudomonadati; Bacteroidota; Flavobacteriia. The record is from RNAcentral.
AAUGGACGAAAGUCUGAUCCAGCCAUGCCGCGUGCAGGAUGACGGCCUAUGGGUUGUAAACUGCUUUUAUACAGGAAGAACACUCCCACGUGUGGGGGCUUGACGGUACUGUACGAAUAAGGAUCGGCUAACUCCGUGCCAGCAGCCGCGGUAAUACGGAGGAUCCAAGCGUUAUCCGGAAUUAUUGGGUUUAAAGGGUCCGCAGGCGGUCUAUUAAGUCAGAGGUGAAAUCUUGCAGCUCAACUGUAAAAUUGCCUUUGAUACUGGUAGACUUGAGUCAUUGUGAAGUGGUUAGAAUGUGUGGUGUAGCGGUGAAAUGCAUAGAUAUCACACAGAAUACCAAUUGCGAAGGCAGAUCACUAACAAUGUACUGACGCUCAUGGACGAAAGCGUGGGGAGCGAACAGGAUU